GAUGAACGCUGGCGGCGUGCCUAAUACAUGCAAGUCGAGCGAACAGACGAGGAGCUUGCUCCUCUGACGUUAGCCGCGGACGGGAGAGUAACACGUGGAUAACCUACCUAUAAGACUGGGAUAACUUCGGGAAACCGGAGCUAAUACCGGAAAAUAUAUUGAACCGCAUGGUUCAAUAGUGAAAGACGGUUUUGCUGUCACUUAUAGAUGGAUCCGCGCAGCAUGAGGUAGUUGGUAAGGUGACGGCUUACCAAGGCAACGCUGCGUAGCCGACCUGAGAGGGUGAGCGGCCACACGGGAACUGAGACACGCUCCAGACUCCUACGGGAGGCAGCAGUAGGGAAUCUUCCGCAAUGGGCGAAAGCCUGACGGAGCAACGCCGCGUGAGUGAUGAAGGUCUUCGGAUCGUAAAACUCUGUUAUUAGGGAAGAACAAAUGUGUAAGUAACUAUGCACGUCUUGACGGUACCUAAUCAGAAAGCCACGGCUAACUACGU
This 496-nucleotide ribosomal RNA is filed under the name uncultured bacterium. RNAcentral describes it as "partial 16S ribosomal RNA". It matches the Rfam family "Bacterial small subunit ribosomal RNA", at positions 28 to 506 of the family's 1533-position model. The record is from RNAcentral.